This is a long non-coding RNA of Synchiropus splendidus (mandarinfish), 668 nucleotides long. RefSeq lists it as uncharacterized. The transcript is spliced from 3 exons. The record is from RefSeq and is a predicted model, not a curated record. Lineage: Eukaryota; Metazoa; Chordata; Actinopteri; Syngnathiformes; Callionymidae.
CAUAGACACACACACACAGAGUUCGAAAACUAUCGAAGAAAAGCAAUGUGUCUUGUUCAGUCACUAAAUAGCUGUCUGGUUUGUGUCUCCUGAGGUGGCUGCACAUCAGUGGGCACACCAUCUAUUAGACCACUGCAAAGCCAUCAAACCUGCACGCGUGCGUGGAUGAUAAAUGCACCAGCUUAUUGAUUUACAAAAACAAGGCAGUCCAGCGGCAUGAAUGAGGUCCUUCCGGCGACUGAGUUUGAGCCCCGUGAUGUAAGCAAACCUGCCUCUCCGUGCUCAUUCCCUUUGAUUCAUCCCUUUAGUUAGCAUGUGGCUGCGUGACGGAUCUAUCUGCUCUGCGACUGGCAGCCGACGGCCUGGCAGCUCUGAUAGCGCUGCACUCCAUUUCAGUAAAUAGGAACUCAAUUGAACCGAGACUAUUUAAACAGUUCAUGUAAGCAGAUUCGGGGCAGAGGGCAGAACGCACCGCCACUGUAGGACUCACAUGUACUGUAUGAUCGUGGCUACAAUAAACAGAUCGACUCGAGCUUCGGAAUAGUUUGGCAAAACGGAGGGAUGACACAACAGAAGUAGCCCUGAGUUGUUUUUGAUGCUUGGGUACCCUCUGACCCACUAAAUCACAUGCUGUGCUUACAAAACCACGCACACAAAGAUACAAAUGA